CCUACGGGAGGCAGCAGUGUGGAAUAUUGGUCAAUGGGGGGAAUUUUGACCCAGCCAUGUCGCGUGCAGGAAGACGGCCUUAGGGGUAGUAAACUUCUUUGUCGGGGGAAAAAUCUUUUUCGGGGGAGGACAAAUGCCGGUACCCCAGGAAUAAGCCUCGGCUAAUUCCGUGCCAGCAGCCGCGGUAAUACGGAGGAUCCGAGCGUUAUCCGGAUUUAUUGGGGUUAAAGGGCGGGUAGGCGGGUUUUUAAGUCAGUGUUGAAAGCCCGCGGCUUAACCGUGGCAGUCCUCUUGAAACUGUUUUCCUUGAGUGCGGGAGAGGUGACCGGAAUUCCUGGUGUAGCGUGAAAUGCCUAGAUACACGGAGGAACACCAAUGGCGAAGGCAGCUUUCUAGCCGUAACUGACGCUGAGC
RNAcentral lists this ribosomal RNA (414 nucleotides) under uncultured Bacteroidota bacterium. RNAcentral's name for it is "bacterial SSU rRNA". It matches the Rfam family "Bacterial small subunit ribosomal RNA", at positions 338 to 751 of the family's 1533-position model. Lineage: Bacteria; Pseudomonadati; Bacteroidota. The record is from RNAcentral.